AAUUCUCAAAACCUAUUGUUCUUCUUGAAUGGUAGGCUUUGGAUGUGAGGGCUUUGCUGGCCUUUGAUGGGUUCAGCUCUCUUCAAAUGCAUUAGUGGUUGCUGAUCCACCUUCAAUUGGUGUGAUAGUUGUCUAUGCCUUUUGAAGUGGAAUCACUUGCUUAUCCACUUCUAACCGGUUGUUAUGUUGGACAACUCUUGACC
RNAcentral lists this unclassified non-coding RNA (203 nucleotides) under uncultured Tricholomataceae. RNAcentral describes it as "sequence contains ITS2". Lineage: Eukaryota; Fungi; Basidiomycota; Agaricomycetes; Agaricales; Tricholomataceae. The record is from RNAcentral.